RNAcentral lists this long non-coding RNA (1340 nucleotides) under Homo sapiens (human). RNAcentral describes it as "PREDICTED lncRNA (TCONS_00151104)". The record is from RNAcentral. Lineage: Eukaryota; Metazoa; Chordata; Mammalia; Primates; Hominidae.
AGGUGGUAAAUCCUGGCCAAGGCUCCUCGAGCCAGGCCGGCUGGCAGUGCUGCAUCGUGCUGAAGGCGCUGAGGUUGCAGCGGAUGCAUUCCGGGCCAGUGAUAUGAUGUGGACAGGAAAAGUCUUUUGUUCUGGGAAAAUGGAGGACUGAAACCUCUUCAUGUCUUUUUCCCAGGCCCUGAUUUAGGAAGACCAAAACAGGGACUUCUACAGUAGCAGCUUAAUCAGCAGAUGCUGGGUGGUCGCCUCUGCACAUGGCCUGGGGGGCGGGGCGCCUUACCGCGUCACACUGGGUGGAUGGGCCUGUGUGUGGCCUCUCUCCAGCUGUGGCUGACAGUACUCACUCAGCCCAGGCUUCCAGGCCCUCCUGGGCCCUCCUAUCCACUGAAGGAAAUGGGAGAUGAGUGGGUAAUGGAAAAGCCUUUGGAGUCAGAUGUAAAUCCAUGACUUGACCACUUAUUGCUGUGAGACCCUGGACAGCUGGAUAUAGAGUUCUUGUUCUAGCAUCCGCCCUGGGAAUCCCCGGAACUGGGCCUCUUACCGACACCAUUGCCUGUAAUCCACAAACCUAGGAGUUACUCCAGUUACUGUCCUACUGAAGGACCCCCAUCCCAUCUGGGCUACUAUAACCACAUGGACCAUCCCUUGCUUCAAUCAUAGAAUUCUUUCUUCAGAUCAAAGUAUAUUCAGACACUCGAUACAGUAACAAAAGCAAGCUAUCCUGGAAGGAAGAAGGAAUCAGGAGGCAGAGCACAUGGUUAAAGCAUGAGAUGUGAAACCAGGAAGAACCAGGUCUGAACCUUAGCUCCACCAGUGGUAGCUUCAAACCUUGGUCCUUUCUGAGCCUGCUUCUUCAACCGUAAGGAACUCGGAAACGGGACCCAGAAAGUUGUUUUCUCAAGUGGAUGGAACAACACAAGCAAUCAGUAUCCUGAAACAGGCCCUGUUCCAACAAACUGACCCAGAAAGAGGUUAUACCAAUUAUCUCUCCAGCAAGUAUGAGGACUCCUGUUUCCCUACGUACUCACUACUACAGCAAAGAUAUCAAACAUUGAUACCCACCAAUCUCUGGAUGGAAAAACAAAUCUCAGGGUAGAAUGGAUGGACUUUGUGCAACAUAAUGUGACAGUUAAGGCUGUGGAAUUUAGAGUCAGAAAGACCUGAGGUCCAAGCCCCAGCUCUGCUAUUUUCUACUAUGUGAUCAAAGGACAUUUUCCUAACUCUUCAAAGCUUCCAUGUCCUUGAUCUGAUGGAAUUAGGAAUACUAUCUAUACCGUAGAGGGCAGUUCUGAGGACUAAAAGCAUGCAAAGCCGUUAGCACAGAGCCUGUGAAUAUUCAA